GACGAACGCUGGCGGCGUGCUUAACACAUGCAAGUCGAACGAUGAAGCUGGAGCUUGCUCCGGUGGAUUAGUGGCGAACGGGUGAGUAACACGUGAGAAAUCUGCCCUUGACUCUGGGAUAACUGCGGGAAACUGUAGCUAAUACCGGAUACUUUCCUCGGUGGGCAUCCACUGGGGAAGAAAGAAUUUCGGUCAAGGAUGAUCUCGCGGCCUAUCAGCUAGUUGGUGAGGUAAUGGCUCACCAAGGCGACGACGGGUAGCCGGCCUGAGAGGGUGACCGGCCACACUGGAACUGAGACACGGUCCAGACUCCUACGGGAGGCAGCAGUGGGGAAUAUUGCACAAUGGGCGCAAGCCUGAUGCAGCGACGCCGCGUGAGGGAUGAAGGCCUUC
Molecule: ribosomal RNA, 393 nt
Filed under: uncultured bacterium
Lineage: Bacteria
Description: bacterial SSU rRNA
Rfam family: Bacterial small subunit ribosomal RNA
Source: RNAcentral